GGUCCUGUAGCCUAGUGGUUACAGUGACCGCCUCGGAUGUGGGAUGUUGCGGGUUCGAACCUCGGCCGAGUCA
This is a non-coding RNA of Potamilus streckersoni, 73 nucleotides long. The record is from the annotation of a GenBank genome assembly. Lineage: Eukaryota; Metazoa; Mollusca; Bivalvia; Unionida; Unionidae.